This 60-nucleotide transfer RNA is filed under the name Ovis aries (sheep). It matches the Rfam family "tRNA", at positions 7 to 64 of the family's 71-position model. From Rfam's summary of the family: Transfer RNA (tRNA) molecules are approximately 80 nucleotides in length. Lineage: Eukaryota; Metazoa; Chordata; Mammalia; Artiodactyla; Bovidae. The record is from Rfam by way of RNAcentral.
UUAGCGCAAUAGGCAGUGUGUCAGUCUCACAAUCUGAAGGUCCUGAGUUCGGGUCUCAGA